RNAcentral lists this ribosomal RNA (253 nucleotides) under uncultured bacterium. Its description in RNAcentral is "partial 16S ribosomal RNA". It matches the Rfam family "Bacterial small subunit ribosomal RNA", at positions 524 to 776 of the family's 1533-position model. The record is from RNAcentral.
UACGUAGGGGGCAAGCGUUGUCCGGAAUCAUUGGGCGUAAAGCGCGCGUAGGCGGCCCGGUAAGUCCGUUGUGAAAGUCAAAGGCUCAACCUUUGAACGCCGAUGGAUACUGCCGGGCUAGAGUCCGGAAGAGGCGAGUGGAAUUCCUGGUGUAGCGGUGGAAUGCGCAGAUAUCAGGAGGAACACCAACGGCGAAGGCAGCCCGCUGGGACGGUACUGACGCUGAGACGCGAAAGCGUGGGGAGCGAACAGG